CCUACGGGUGGCUGCAGUGAGGAAUAUUGGUCAAUGGUCGGGAGACUGAACCAGCCAAGCCGCGUGAGGGAUGAAGGUACAGAGUAUCGUAAACCUCUUUUGUCAGGGAACAAAGGCCGGGACGUGUCCCCGGAUGAGUGUACCAGAAGAAAAAGCAUCGGCUAACUCCGUGCCAGCAGCAACGGUAAUACGGAGGAUGCUAGCGUUAUCCGGAUUUAUUGGGUUUAAAGGGAGCGCAGCCGGUCUGUUAAGUCAGCGGUAAAAGCCCGGGGCUCAACCCAGGACCGCCGUUGAAACUGGCAGUCUAGAGUUGGAGAGAAGUAUGCGGAAUGCGCGGUGUAGCGGUGAAAUGCAUAGAUAUCGCGCAGAACUCCGAUUGCGAAGGCAGCAUGCCGGCUCCACACUGACGCUGAGGCACGAAAGCGUGGGUAUCGAACAGGAUUAGAUACCCCUGUAGUC
This 459-nucleotide ribosomal RNA is filed under the name uncultured bacterium. RNAcentral's name for it is "partial 16S ribosomal RNA". It matches the Rfam family "Bacterial small subunit ribosomal RNA", at positions 338 to 795 of the family's 1533-position model. The record is from RNAcentral.